AUGAUUUUAAUUGGAGGGAAGAUGGGUGUUUUCAUCUGUGGCGUAGUAUAUACCUGGCGUUCAUCUUCAGGGCACAGCGUGGCUGGUUCUGGUGCCGGCGAGUUGACGCUCGAACGCCGUCCAGUUAUUAUAUAUCAAGGAGUUACGGCCGGGGAUCGCCGGCGGCGCACGUUCUCGCCUGUCUUGCUCAAGGACUGCAGAGAUGGAGAGUCUAUGUUGGGCUGCUCCUCCUCGUAUGAUAGGUGGUGCGGUGGUGGUCGCACAGCUGAGAUAUCCAUGGAGGAAGGGGCAAGAUCUCUGUUGGGUGGAUGCUUGAGCAUGUAUUGGAGGGAGAUGGGACUCCACCGUUCAUCCAUUCUACAGCGGAUGGAUAUUUAUUUAUGA
Molecule: ribosomal RNA, 384 nt
Filed under: Triticum aestivum (bread wheat)
Lineage: Eukaryota; Viridiplantae; Streptophyta; Magnoliopsida; Poales; Poaceae
Description: partial small subunit ribosomal RNA
Source: RNAcentral